This 253-nucleotide ribosomal RNA is filed under the name uncultured bacterium. RNAcentral describes it as "partial 16S ribosomal RNA". It matches the Rfam family "Bacterial small subunit ribosomal RNA", at positions 524 to 776 of the family's 1533-position model. The record is from RNAcentral.
UACAGAGGUGGCAAGCGUUGUUCGGAAUUACUGGGCGUAAAGGGCGCGUAGGCGGUCUUUCAAGUCCCGUGUGAAAUCCCUCGGCUCAACUGAGGAACUGCACGGGAAACUGUUUGGCUUGAGUUCGGGAGAGGGAAGCGGAAUUCCGGGUGUAGCGGUGAAAUGCGUAGAUAUCCGGAGGAACACCGGUGGCGAAGGCGGCUUCCUGGACCGACACUGACGCUGAGGCGCGAAAGCUAGGGGAGCAAACGGG